GGACUACAGGGGUAUCUAAUCCUGUUUGAUCCCCACGCUUUCGUGCAUGAGCGUCUGUAUCAAUUUCGUUACCUGUCUUCACGAUCGGCGUUCUGUGACAUAUCUAUGCAUUUCACCGCUACACAUCACAUUCCAGCAACGUCAAUUGAACUCUAGUCCGGCAGUAUCAAAGGCAGUUUUGCAGUUAAGCCGCAAAAUUUCACCCCUGACUUACCGAUCCGCCUGCGCACCCUUUAAACCCAAUAAAUCCGGAUAACGCUUGCAUCCUCCGUAUUACCGCGGCGGCUGGCAC
Molecule: ribosomal RNA, 292 nt
Filed under: uncultured Bacteroidota bacterium
Lineage: Bacteria; Pseudomonadati; Bacteroidota
Description: uncultured Bacteroidetes bacterium partial 16S ribosomal RNA
Source: RNAcentral